UAGGAUGAGCUCUGGUGACAAGAAGCACU
RNAcentral lists this non-coding RNA (29 nucleotides) under Mus musculus (house mouse). The record is from RNAcentral. Lineage: Eukaryota; Metazoa; Chordata; Mammalia; Rodentia; Muridae.